RNAcentral lists this long non-coding RNA (415 nucleotides) under Sorghum bicolor (sorghum). RNAcentral's name for it is "long non-coding RNA (SBIC_LNC000251)". The record is from RNAcentral. Lineage: Eukaryota; Viridiplantae; Streptophyta; Magnoliopsida; Poales; Poaceae.
CAGGAACAAGUGGCCUGAGGACCUGCCAGGGUUCAGGUGAUGAAUCCAUUUGCGACCCUGACGACCUUUGGAUUUGGCUAUACUUCUCUCCUGAUCAAUCAAGAUUCCUUCUCCUUUUAGUUAGUUACUAUAUGUGAUGAUCGAUGAAACGAGAAUUAACUGAGACAAUGCCUUUUUUUUGGCUACUAAUUAAAAAACAAGAGAUGUGUGAAACGAGAAUGAUUUGCACGCACGCACGCAGAGAGGCGCUGGAGGAGUACACGAACGCUCUUGAAGAGCUGGCGUUGAAGCUGCUGGAGCUGCUGGCCCGGAGCCUGAAGCUGAGGCCCGACCGGCUGCACGGCUUCUUCAAGGAGCACACGUCGUUCUUCCGGCUGAACCACUACCCUCCGUGCCCGGCGCCGGAGGUGGUGCU